Molecule: long non-coding RNA, 932 nt
Organism: Mobula hypostoma (lesser devil ray)
Lineage: Eukaryota; Metazoa; Chordata; Chondrichthyes; Myliobatiformes; Myliobatidae
Exons: 3
Source: RefSeq, a predicted model, not a curated record
UCUGUGUGACGUCACGGCUGGUCUGCAGGGAAGGGGAUCCUCGGCUGAGGUCCCGCCGCCGGGCGCGGUGGCGUGCGUCUGUUAUCCGGCUGCUCGGAGGCUGAGGCUGCAGGAUUGCUUGAGAAUUUAACAACUCUCCACAAGAGAUGCUGGUCAUCUUGAGCGACACACAGAAAAUGCUGCAGGAAGUCAGGCAGCAUCUAUGAAAGGGAAUAAACAAGUCAAUGUUUCCGGCUAAACCUUUCAUCAGGGCUCCAUUUCUGGUGUUCCGUAACCUCAGCCCAGGAGGAGGAGAAGAUGGCGGCGGGAUGCAGUGUGCGUGGCCGCUCUGGAAUAAUAUCUGUAUUUGUUAAGUAGGAAACCGUGCACAAUUCUGAUUUGAUGGAGACAGAUGUGAGAGCACGGAGGAACAUCUGGAGAAACUUCUGAAAUGCCUGCUUUGCUGCUGCUGCUACUGUGUGUUUCAGAAUCUCCAGAGGAGUAGGCCUCUGAGUCCUCGGCAUUGCUUGUUUUAGAUGCCGGGACGAGGUUGAAGGCGCUCAGCAGAGGAUGGCGCUCGGGAGGCUGUAUCGGAGGGGCUGGUUGGAGGCUCGAAGUUUUCGGAUGGACUCAGUCGGCUAUGUUCGGGUGCUUCCAAUGCAUCGGCAGUUGGCAGUUGUCGGUGCCUGGAGGUUUAUGGCAGGGGAGCUUCUCCCUUUUUUCCACCUGCUAUCAGGAACUAUAGGAGUUGAUCAGGACUUGAGACUUUUUUUUACCAUGCCCAUGGUCUGUUCUUUAUCAAAUUAUGGUAUUGUUUUGCACUACUGUAACUAUAUGUUAUGAUUAUGUGGUCUUCUCAGUGUUAGUCUUUGGUUUGUUCUGUUUUUGUGUGAUAUCACUCCGGAGGAACAUCGUAUCAUUUCUUAAUGCAUGCAUGCAUUUCUAAAUGACAA